CUUUCAGCCUGGGAACGACGCUGAUAACACCGAUGGUUUUAGUUGUUGCUAAGUGAUGUUUACUCCGAUCAAGGCCUUUCUUAGUCUCAUGUUCUGCCGGGAGGAAGCAGAGACAGGA
Strigops habroptila (Kakapo) is the source of this 118-nucleotide long non-coding RNA. RefSeq lists it as uncharacterized. Lineage: Eukaryota; Metazoa; Chordata; Aves; Psittaciformes; Psittacidae. The record is from RefSeq and is a predicted model, not a curated record. The transcript is spliced from 3 exons.